RNAcentral lists this ribosomal RNA (429 nucleotides) under Gemmatimonadota bacterium. Its description in RNAcentral is "Gemmatimonadetes bacterium partial 16S ribosomal RNA". It matches the Rfam family "Bacterial small subunit ribosomal RNA", at positions 355 to 776 of the family's 1533-position model. The record is from RNAcentral. Lineage: Bacteria; Pseudomonadati; Gemmatimonadota.
UAGGGAAUCUUCGGCAAUGGACGAAAGUCUGACCGAGCAACGCCGCGUGAGUGAAGAAGGUUUUCGGAUCGUAAAACUCUGUUGUUAGAGAAGAACAAGGACGUUAGUAACUGAACGUCCCCUGACGGUAUCUAACCAGAAAGCCACGGCUAACUACGUGCCAGCAGCCGCGGUAAUACGUAGGUGGCAAGCGUUGUCCGGAUUUAUUGGGCGUAAAGCGAGCGCAGGCGGUUUCUUAAGUCUGAUGUGAAAGCCCCCGGCUCAACCGGGGAGGGUAAUUGUAAACUGGGAGACUUGAGUGCAGAAGAGGAGAGUGGAAUUCCAUGUGUAGCGGUGAAAUGCGUAGAUAUAUGGAGCAAAGCCAGUGGCGAAGGCGGCUCUCUAGUCUGUAACUGACGCUGAGGCUCGAAAGCGUGGGGAGCAAACAGG